Unclassified non-coding RNA from Macaca mulatta (Rhesus monkey), 148 nucleotides. It matches the Rfam family "Metazoan signal recognition particle RNA". From Rfam's summary of the family: The signal recognition particle (SRP) is a universally conserved ribonucleoprotein. It is involved in the co-translational targeting of proteins to membranes. The eukaryotic SRP consists of a 300-nucleotide 7S RNA and six proteins: SRPs 72, 68, 54, 19, 14, and 9. Lineage: Eukaryota; Metazoa; Chordata; Mammalia; Primates; Cercopithecidae. The record is from Ensembl.
GCCAGGUGUAGUGGUGUGCGCCUGUAAUCCUAGCUACUCGGGAGGCUGAGGCAGGAGAAUCGCUUGAACCCAGGAGGUGGAGGUUGCAGUGAGUUGAGAUCGUGCCAUUGCACUCCAGCCUGGGUGACAGAGUGAGACUCUGUCUCAA